Molecule: ribosomal RNA, 763 nt
Filed under: soil bacterium Siso-S1P-M1LLLSSL-1
Lineage: Bacteria
Description: bacterial SSU rRNA
Rfam family: Bacterial small subunit ribosomal RNA
Source: RNAcentral
GACGGGUGAGUAACACGUGAGUAACCUGCCCUUGACUCUGGGAUAAGCCUGGGAAACUGGGUCUAAUACCGGAUACGACCAUUCCGCGCAUGCGGUGGUGGUGGAAAGCUUUUGCGGUUUUGGAUGGACUCGCGGCCUAUCAGCUUGUUGGUGGGGUAAUGGCCUACCAAGGCGACGACGGGUAGCCGGCCUGAGAGGGUGACCGGCCACACUGGGACUGAGACACGGCCCAGACUCCUACGGGAGGCAGCAGUGGGGAAUAUUGCACAAUGGGCGAAAGCCUGAUGCAGCGACGCCGCGUGAGGGAUGACGGCCUUCGGGUUGUAAACCUCUUUCAGUAGGGAAGAAGCGAAAGUGACGGUACCUGCAGAAGAAGCGCCGGCUAACUACGUGCCAGCAGCCGCGGUAAUACGUAGGGCGCAAGCGUUAUCCGGAAUUAUUGGGCGUAAAGAGCUCGUAGGCGGUUUGUCGCGUCUGCUGUGAAAGACCGGGGCUCAACUCCGGUUCUGCAGUGGGUACGGGCAGACUAGAGUGAUGUAGGGGAGACUGGAAUUCCUGGUGUAGCGGUGAAAUGCGCAGAUAUCAGGAGGAACACCGAUGGCGAAGGCAGGUCUCUGGGCAUUAACUGACGCUGAGGAGCGAAAGCAUGGGGAGCGAACAGGAUUAGAUACCCUGGUAGUCCAUGCCGUAAACGUUGGGCACUAGGUGUGGGGGACAUUCCACGUUUUCCGCGCCGUAGCUAACGCAUUAAGUGCCCCCGCCU